GGAAGGUUAAUUGAUGGGGUUAGCGCAAGCGAAGCUCUUGAUCGAAGCCCCGGUAAACGGCGGCCGUAACUAUAACGGUCCUAAGGUAGCGAAAUUCCUUGUCGGGUAAGUUCCGACCUGCACGAAUGGCGUAACGAUGGCGGCGCUGUCUCCACCCGAGACUCAGUGAAAUUGAAAUCGCUGUGAAGAUGCAGUGUAUCCGCGGCUAGACGGAAAGACCCCGUGAACCUUUACUAUAGCUUUGCACUGGACUUUGAAUUUGCUUGUGUAGGAUAGGUGGGAGGCUUUGAAGUGGGGACGCCAGUUCUCAUGGAGCCAAUCUUGAAAUACCACCCUGGCAACUUUGAGGUUCUAACUCAGGUCCGUUAUCCGGAUCGAGGACAGUGUAUGGUGGGUAGUUUGACUGGGGCGGUCUCCUCCCAAAGAGUAACGGAGGAGUACGAAGGUGCGCUCAGACCGGUCGGAAAUCGGUCGUAGAGUAUAAAGGCAAAAGCGCGCUUGACUGCGAGACCCACACGUCGAGCAGGUACGAAAGUAGGUCUUAGUGAUCCGGUGGUUCUGUAUGGAAGGGCCAUCGCUCAACGGAUAAAAGGUACUCCGGGGAUAACAGGCUGAUACCGCCCAAGAGUUCAUAUCGACGGCGGUGUUUGGCACCUCGAUGUCGGCUCAUCACAUCCUGGGGCUGAAGCCGGUCCCAAGGGUAUGGCUGUUCGCCAUUUAAAGUGGUACGCGAGCUGGGUUUAGAACGUCGUGAGACAGUUCGGUCCCUAUCUGCCGUGGACGUUUGAGAUUUGAGAGGGGCUGCUCCUAGUACGAGAGGACCGGAGUGGACGAACCUCUGGUGUUCCGGUUGUCACGCCAGUGGCAUUGCCGGGUAGCUAUGUUCGGAAGAGAUAACCGCUGAAAGCAUCUAAGCGGGAAACUUGCCUCAAGAUGAGAUCUCACUGGGAUCUAGAAUCCCCUGAAGGGCCGUCGAAGACUACGACGUUGAUAGGUUGGGUGUGUAAGCGCUGUGAGGCGUUGAGCUAACCAAUACUAAUUGCCCGUGAGGCUUGACCAU
This 1060-nucleotide ribosomal RNA is filed under the name Pseudomonas reidholzensis. Its description in RNAcentral is "bacterial LSU rRNA". It matches the Rfam family "Bacterial large subunit ribosomal RNA", at positions 1871 to 2925 of the family's 2925-position model. Lineage: Bacteria; Pseudomonadati; Pseudomonadota; Gammaproteobacteria; Pseudomonadales; Pseudomonadaceae. The record is from RNAcentral.